GGUUGUCUAGCUCAGUGGUAGAGCGUAAGACUCUUAACCUUGUGGUUGUGGGUUCGAGCCCACGGUGGGUG
RNAcentral lists this transfer RNA (71 nucleotides) under Zea mays. It matches the Rfam family "tRNA". From Rfam's summary of the family: Transfer RNA (tRNA) molecules are approximately 80 nucleotides in length. Their secondary structure includes four short double-helical elements and three loops (D, anti-codon, and T loops). Lineage: Eukaryota; Viridiplantae; Streptophyta; Magnoliopsida; Poales; Poaceae. The record is from Rfam by way of RNAcentral.